Molecule: ribosomal RNA, 600 nt
Filed under: Nocardiopsis sp. YIM C381
Lineage: Bacteria; Bacillati; Actinomycetota; Actinomycetes; Streptosporangiales; Nocardiopsidaceae
Description: bacterial SSU rRNA
Rfam family: Bacterial small subunit ribosomal RNA
Source: RNAcentral
GGCGGCGUGCUUAACACAUGCAAGUCGAGCGGUAAGGCCCUUCGGGGUACACGAGCGGCGAACGGGUGAGUAACACGUGAGCAACCUGCCCCCGACUCCGGGAUAAGCGGUGGAAACGCCGUCUAAUACCGGAUACGACCGGCCACCUCAUGGUGGCGGGUGGAAAGUUUUUCGGUUGGGGAUGGGCUCGCGGCCUAUCAGCUAGUUGGUGGGGUAAAGGCCUACCAAGGCGAUUACGGGUAGCCGGCCUGAGAGGGCGACCGGCCACACUGGGACUGAGACACGGCCCAGACUCCUGCGGGAGGCAGCAGUGGGGAAUAUUGCGCAAUGGGCGAAAGCCUGACGCAGCGACGCCGCGUGGGGGAUGACGGCCUUCGGGUUGUAAACCUCUUUUACCACCAACGCAGGCUCCCAGUUCUCUGGGGGUUGACGGUAGGUGGGGAAUAAGGACCGGCUAACUACGUGCCAGCAGCCGCGGUAAUACGUAGGGUCCGAGCGUUGUCCGGAAUUAUUGGGCGUAAAGAGCUCGUAGGCGGCGUGUCGCGUCUGCUGUGAAAGACCGGGGCUUAACUCCGGUUCUGCAGUGGAUACGGGCAUGCU